RNAcentral lists this transfer-messenger RNA (151 nucleotides) under Microbacterium sp. RNAcentral describes it as "partial transfer-messenger RNA". It matches the Rfam family "transfer-messenger RNA", at positions 225 to 374 of the family's 374-position model. Rfam says of the family: Bacterial tmRNA, also known as 10Sa RNA or SsrA, is named for its dual tRNA and mRNA-like properties. Its role is to liberate the mRNA from a stalled ribosome. Lineage: Bacteria; Bacillati; Actinomycetota; Actinomycetes; Micrococcales; Microbacteriaceae. The record is from RNAcentral.
ACGUCACGUGGGACUCUUCCCAGGCUGGGCUCGUCGACUUGGGUGUCUGUGACAAAGGUCGGAGCCGAGCAGAACGUCUGCACAGACUGCACCCGGAGAAGGCGCAGAGACCCAGCGAUGGACGGGGGUUCGAUUCCCCCCAUCUCCACGA